AUUUACAUAGUAUAUAAUAAUAUAUAUGACUUCCAAUCAUAAGAACUAAGUUAGUGUAAAUA
RNAcentral lists this transfer RNA (62 nucleotides) under Systropus sp. 2 YXA-2022a. Its description in RNAcentral is "tRNA-Gly". Lineage: Eukaryota; Metazoa; Arthropoda; Insecta; Diptera; Bombyliidae. The record is from RNAcentral.